Molecule: ribosomal RNA, 253 nt
Filed under: uncultured bacterium
Lineage: Bacteria
Description: partial 16S ribosomal RNA
Rfam family: Bacterial small subunit ribosomal RNA
Source: RNAcentral
UACGUAGGGAGCAAGCGUUGUCCGGAAUCAUUGGGCGUAAAGCGCGCGUAGGCGGCCCUGUAAGUCCGCUGUGAAAGUCAAAGGCUCAACCUUUGAAAGCCGGUGGAUACUGCAGGGCUAGAGUCCGGAAGAGGCGAGUGGAACUCCUGGUGUAGCGGUGGAAUGCGCAGAUAUCAGGAAGAACACCAACGGCGAAGGCAGCUCGCUGGGACGGUACUGACGCUGAGACGCGAAAGCGUGGGGAGCGAACAGG